GCCAGACUCCUACGGGAGGCAGCAGUGGGGGAUAUUGCACCAUGGGGGAAACCCUGCUGCAGCGACGCCGCUUGUGGGACGCCCGUCAUCUGGAUUGUCCACAACUGUCCCCCUGGACGAAGCUGCCGGUACCUGUUUCUUCAGCUCCGUCUCCCUACGUGCCCGCCGCCGCGGUAAUCCGUCGGGAGCAAUCUUUGUCCGGAAUUCCUGUGUGUAAAGGGAGCGUAGGCGGGAUGGCAAGUUGGGUGUUAAAUCUACCGGAGCAACUGGUAGUCGCACUCAAAACUGCUAUUCUUGAGUGAAGUAGAGGCAGGCGGAAUUCCUAGUGUAGCGGUGAAAUGCGUAGAGAUGAGGAGGAACACCAGUGGCGAAGGCGGCCGGCUGGGCUUUAACUGACGCUGAGGCUCGAAAGCGUGGGGAGCAAACAGGAUUAGAUACCCCAGUAC
RNAcentral lists this ribosomal RNA (446 nucleotides) under uncultured bacterium. RNAcentral describes it as "bacterial SSU rRNA". It matches the Rfam family "Bacterial small subunit ribosomal RNA", at positions 330 to 793 of the family's 1533-position model. The record is from RNAcentral.